CUCGAGGUUUGGAACAAAUAAACUAAAGUAUCCUAUCCAUAGUCUUGUUGUAUUCGACUCUGAGAAUAAGGCUAUUCCAGUUGCUUGGAUAAUUGCACCACGGUUUUCCAGUGGAGAUGCAUAUAGAUGGAUGAGAGCACUUUGUAACCGAGUCUAUGCCAAGGAUCCCUCCUGGAAGGUGGCUGGGUUCAUAGUUGAUGAUCCUUUUGCUGACAUAACAACGAUCAGGGAUGUAUUUCAAUGCCCGGUCUUGCUUUCCUUUUGGCGUGUUCGCCAUGCAUGGCAUAA
This is a non-coding RNA of Camelina sativa (false flax), 288 nucleotides long. NCBI's taxonomy places the organism in Eukaryota, Viridiplantae, Streptophyta, Magnoliopsida, Brassicales, Brassicaceae. The record is from RefSeq and is a predicted model, not a curated record.